Molecule: ribosomal RNA, 275 nt
Filed under: uncultured bacterium
Lineage: Bacteria
Description: partial 16S ribosomal RNA
Rfam family: Bacterial small subunit ribosomal RNA
Source: RNAcentral
UACAGAGGGUGCGAGCGUUGUUCGGAAUUACUGGGCGUAAAGCGCGCGCAGGCGGCCUUUUAAGUCUACCCGUGAAAUGCCGGGGCUCAACUCCGAGCGCCGCGGGGGAUACUGGGAGGCUGGAGACAGGUAGAGGCAAGCGGAAUUCCGGGUGUAGCGGUGGAAUGCGUAGAGAUCCGGAAGAACACCUGAGGCGAAGGCGGCUUGCUGGGCCUGGUCUGACGCUGAGGCGCGAAAGCGUGGGGAGCGAACAGGAUUAGAAACCCCCGUAGUCC